RNAcentral lists this ribosomal RNA (482 nucleotides) under uncultured bacterium. RNAcentral describes it as "bacterial SSU rRNA". It matches the Rfam family "Bacterial small subunit ribosomal RNA", at positions 28 to 521 of the family's 1533-position model. The record is from RNAcentral.
GAUGAACGCUAGCGGCAGGCUUAAUACAUGCAAGUCAAGGGGGUAGCAAUACAACCGGCGCACGGGUGAGUAACGCGUACACAACAUACCAUAUACUGGGGUAUAGCUUUGGGAAACUGAAGGUAAUCCCCCAUAACAUUGCGAGAGGGCAUCUGAUUGCAAUUAAAGUUUCGGCGGUAUAUGAUUGGUGUGCGUUUGAUUAGCUAGUUGGUAGGGUAACGGCCUACCAAGGCGACGAUCAGUAGGGGGUGUGAGAGCAUGGCCCCCCACACGGGUACUGAGACACGGACCCGACUCCUACGGGAGGCAGCAGUAAGGAAUAUUGGUCAAUGGAGGCAACUCUGAACCAGCCAUUCCGCGUGAAGGAUGAAUGCCCUCUGGGUUGUAAACUUCUUUAGUCUGGGAAGAAAAACAUAUAUUCAUAUAUGUCUGACGGUACCAGAAGAAUAAGCACCGGCUAACUCCGUGCCAGCAGCCGCGGU